This 490-nucleotide ribosomal RNA is filed under the name uncultured bacterium. Its description in RNAcentral is "partial 16S ribosomal RNA". It matches the Rfam family "Bacterial small subunit ribosomal RNA", at positions 29 to 505 of the family's 1533-position model. The record is from RNAcentral.
AGUGAACGCUGGCGGUAGGCCUAACACAUGCCAGUCGAACGGCAGCACAGUAAGAGCUUGCUCUUACUGGUGGCGAGUGGCGGACGGGUGAGGAAUACAUCGGAAUCUACUUUUUCGUGGGGGAUAACGUAGGGAAACUUACGCUAAUACCGCAUACGACCUACGGGUGAAAGCAGGGGAUCUUCGGACCUUGCGCGAUUGAAUGAGCCGAUGUCGGAUUAGCUAGUUGGCGGGGUAAAGGCACACCAAGGCGACGAUCCGUAGCUGGUCUGAGAGGAUGGGCAGCCACACUGGCACUGAGACACGGUACAGACCUAUACGGGAGGCAGCAGUGGGGAAUAUUGGACAAUGGGCGCAAGUCUGAUACAGCCAUAGCGCGUGGGUGAAGAAGGCCUUCGGGUUGUAAAGCCCUUUUGUUGGGAAAGAAAAGCAGCAGGUUAAUACGCCGCUGUUCUGACGGUACACAAAGAAUAAGCACCGGCUAACUGCG